Molecule: transfer RNA, 76 nt
Filed under: Candidatus Omnitrophota bacterium
Lineage: Bacteria; Pseudomonadati; Candidatus Omnitrophota
Description: tRNA-Thr
Rfam family: tRNA
About the family: Transfer RNA (tRNA) molecules are approximately 80 nucleotides in length. Their secondary structure includes four short double-helical elements and three loops (D, anti-codon, and T loops).
Source: RNAcentral
GCUGGCAUAACUCAGCUGGUAGAGUACCGGUUUUGUAAACCGGCUGUCGGGGGUUCGAUUCCCUCUGCCAGCUCCA